Molecule: ribosomal RNA, 274 nt
Filed under: uncultured bacterium
Lineage: Bacteria
Description: partial 16S ribosomal RNA
Rfam family: Bacterial small subunit ribosomal RNA
Source: RNAcentral
AUACGAAGGGUGCAAGCGUUGUUCGGAUUUACUGGGCGUAAAGCGCGCGCAGGCGGAUUGGUAAGUCAGAUGUGGAAUCUCGGGGCUCAACCCCGAAACUGCGUCUGAAACUAUUAAUCUAGAGUCUUGGAGAGGGAAGGGGAAUUUCACAUGUAGGGGUAAAAUCCGUAGAGAUGUGAAGGAACACCAGAGGCGAAGGCGCCUUCCUGGACAAGUACUGACGCUGAGGCGCGAAAGCGUGGGGAGCAAACAGGAUUAGAUACCCUAGUAGUCC